GACGUAGGGCGCGAGCGUUGUCCGGAAUUAUUGGGCGUAAAGAGCCCGUAGGCGGCUUGUCGCGUCGACCGUGAAAACUUGGGGCUCAACCCCAAGCCUGCGGUCGAUACGGGCAGGCUAGAGUUCGGUAGGGGAGACUGGAAUUCCUGGUGUAGCGGUGAAAUGCGCAGAUAUCAGGAGGAACACCGAUGGCGAAGGCAGGUCUCUGGGCAUUAACUGACGCUGAGGAGCGAAAGCAUGGGGAGCGAACAGG
This 253-nucleotide ribosomal RNA is filed under the name uncultured bacterium. RNAcentral's name for it is "partial 16S ribosomal RNA". It matches the Rfam family "Bacterial small subunit ribosomal RNA", at positions 524 to 776 of the family's 1533-position model. The record is from RNAcentral.